RNAcentral lists this ribosomal RNA (750 nucleotides) under Lysinibacillus xylanilyticus. RNAcentral's name for it is "bacterial LSU rRNA". It matches the Rfam family "Bacterial large subunit ribosomal RNA", at positions 887 to 1636 of the family's 2925-position model. The record is from RNAcentral. Lineage: Bacteria; Bacillati; Bacillota; Bacilli; Caryophanales; Bacillaceae.
AUGAGAAUACUGGAGGUAGAGCACUGUUUGGACUAGGGGGCCAUCCCGGUUUACCGAAUUCAGACAAACUCCGAAUGCCAGAUAUUUAUACACGGGAGUCAGACUGCGAGUGAUAAGAUCCGUAGUCAAAAGGGAAACAGCCCAGACCACCAGCUAAGGUCCCAAAGUAAUCGUUAAGUGGAAAAGGAUGUGGCGUUGCACAGACAACCAGGAUGUUGGCUUAGAAGCAGCCAUCAUUUAAAGAGUGCGUAAUAGCUCACUGGUCGAGUGACGCUGCGCCGAAAAUGUAUCGGGGCUAAACGAUUCACCGAAGCUGUGGAUUGACAUCUACGAUGUCAGUGGUAGGAGAGCGGUCUAAGUGCGUUGAAGUCAGACCGGAAGGACUGGUGGAGCGCUUAGAAGUGAGAAUGCCGGUAUGAGUAGCGAAAGACGGGUGAGAAUCCCGUCCACCGUAUGACUAAGGUUUCCUGAGGAAGGCUCGUCCGCUCAGGGUUAGUCGGGACCUAAGCCGAGGCCGAUAGGCGUAGGCGAUGGACAACAGGUUGAUAUUCCUGUACCACCUCCUCACCGUUUGAGAAAUGGGGGGACGCAGUAGGAUAGGGUAAGCGCGCUGUUGGAUAUGCGCGUCCAAGCAGUAAGGCGUGUGUGUAGGCAAAUCCGCACACUAUAACGUUGAGCUGUGAUGGCGAGUCCGUAUGGACGAAGUUCCUGAUUUCACACUGCCAAGAAAAGCCUCUAUCGAGGUGAGAG